AUACGUAGGUGGCGAGCGUUGUCCGGAAUUACUGGGCGUAAAGGGUGCGUAGGCGGCAGAUAAAGUCCGAUGUGAAAACCCAGGGCUCAACCAUGGGAUUGCAUUGGUAACUAACCUGCUAGAGUACAGGAGAGGGGAGCGGAAUUCCUAGUGUAGCGGUGAAAUGCGUAGAUAUUAGGAAGAACACCAGUGGCGAAGGCGGCUUUCUGGACUGAUACUGACGCUGAUGCACGAAAGCGUGGGGAGCGAACAGGAUUAGAUACCCUGGUAGUCCAUGCCGUAAACGAUGAUUACUAGGUGUGGGGGGUCUGACCCCCUCCGUGCCGGAGUUAACACAAUAAGUAAUCCGCCUGGGAAGUGCGACCGCAAGGUUGAA
Molecule: ribosomal RNA, 376 nt
Filed under: uncultured bacterium
Lineage: Bacteria
Description: bacterial SSU rRNA
Rfam family: Bacterial small subunit ribosomal RNA
Source: RNAcentral